Molecule: ribosomal RNA, 1033 nt
Filed under: unidentified
Description: bacterial SSU rRNA
Rfam family: Bacterial small subunit ribosomal RNA
Source: RNAcentral
AGGGAAAUCUUCCACAAUGGACGCAAGUCUGAUGGAGCAACGCCGCGUGAGUGAAGAAGGUUUUCGGAUCGUAAAGCUCUGUUGUUGGUGAAGAAGGAUAGAGGUAGUAACUGGCCUUUAUUUGACGGUAAUCAACCAGAAAGUCACGGCUAACUACGUGCCAGCAGCCGCGGUAAUACGUAGGUGGCAAGCGUUGUCCGGAUUUAUUGGGCGUAAAGCGAGCGCAGGCGGAUUGAUAAGUCUGAUGUGAAAGCCUUCGGCUCAACCGAAGAACUGCAUCAGAAACUGUCAAUCUUGAGUGCAGAAGAGGAGAGUGGAACUCCAUGUGUAGCGGUGGAAUGCGUAGAUAUAUGGAAGAACACCAGUGGCGAAGGCGGCUCUCUGGUCUGUAACUGACGCUGAGGCUCGAAAGCAUGGGUAGCGAACAGGAUUAGAUACCCUGGUAGUCCAUGCCGUAAACGAUGAGUGCUAAGUGUUGGGAGGUUUCCGCCUCUCAGUGCUGCAGCUAACGCAUUAAGCACUCCGCCUGGGGAGUACGACCGCAAGGUUGAAACUCAAAGGAAUUGACGGGGGCCCGCACAAGCGGUGGAGCAUGUGGUUUAAUUCGAAGCAACGCGAAGAACCUUACCAGGUCUUGACAUCCUUUGACCACCUAAGAGAUUAGGUUUUCCCUUCGGGGACAAAGAGACAGGUGGUGCAUGGCUGUCGUCAGCUCGUGUCGUGAGAUGUUGGGUUAAGUCCCGCAACGAGCGCAACCCUUGUUAAUAGUUGCCAGCAUUAAGUUGGGCACUCUAUUGAGACUGCCGGUGACAAACCGGAGGAAGGUGGGGAUGACGUCAAGUCAUCAUGCCCCUUAUGACCUGGGCUACACACGUGCUACAAUGGGCAGUACAACGAGAAGCGAACCUGUGAAGGCAAGCGGAUCUCUUAAAGCUGUUCUCAGUUCGGACUGUAGGCUGCAACUCGCCUACACGAAGCUGGAAUCGCUAGUAAUCGCGGAUCAGCACGCCGCGGUGAAUACGUUCCCGGGCCU